AAGUCGUAACAAGGUUUCCGUAGGUGAACCUGCGGAAGGAUCAUUACCGAGAGAGGGGCUUCGGGCUCCGGGGGGUUUCGGCCCCCGACUCUUCACCCGUUGCAUAUCGUACCUUUGUUGCUUUGGCGGACCCCGGGUCGCCCCGCGCUGGUUUUUCGGGCCGGCGAGUGUCCGUCAGAGGCCCAUUACAUUCUGUUUAUUAGAGGACGUCCGGUAUAAACCACAAAAUAAAAA
Molecule: unclassified non-coding RNA, 234 nt
Filed under: plant metagenome
Description: partial contains small subunit ribosomal RNA and internal transcribed spacer 1
Rfam family: Eukaryotic small subunit ribosomal RNA (bases 1-46)
Source: RNAcentral